CUUGCCAAAUUAUAAGAGGUCCAGCCUGCCCAGUGACUCUGUUCAACGGCCGCGGUAUCCUAACCGUGCGAAGGUAGCGUAAUCACUUGUUCUUUAAAUGAGGACUAGUAUGAAUGGCCCCACGAGGGCUGCACUGUCUCCUUUUUCUAAUCAAUGAAACUAAUCUCCCCGUGAAGAAGCGGGGAUAACCAUAUAAGACGAGAAGACCCUAUGGAGCUUAAAACAACUGAAACAUUUGCUUUUACCUUAACUGCCCCCGAGCUCUUUAUUUUACCUAAGCAUUUUUAUUUCUAGUUUUAGGUUGGGGUGACCACGGAGCAAAACUAAACCUCCACGAAGAAAUGAAUACUUUUUAAGCCACAAACUACUUUUUUAAGCAUCAACAAAUUGACCUUCAUUGACCCAAUAUAUUGAUCAACGAAC
RNAcentral lists this ribosomal RNA (423 nucleotides) under Ameerega hahneli group sp. ABGD cluster 11. RNAcentral describes it as "partial large subunit ribosomal RNA". It matches the Rfam family "Bacterial large subunit ribosomal RNA", at positions 1834 to 2457 of the family's 2925-position model. The record is from RNAcentral. Lineage: Eukaryota; Metazoa; Chordata; Amphibia; Anura; Dendrobatidae.